UUAUACAUAUUUAUAAAAUAUGUUAAAUAUAAGCAUUAAAUAAAUAAUGGCAUCUUUAUCCAACAUCUCACUGUAAUUCCAUGUUACUUUAGAAUUAAUAAAAAUAAGUAUUUAUUCCGAAUUAAAAUUAAAAUUAGACUCAUAUAGACCCGUGCCGUAUACUCUUGCGCAAAAUGUUAUACAGAGCGAAUCUAAGAAGUCAUAUUUUAUCAGAUUGUGCUUUUGUUGUGUGUAUUAAUUCUAUAAUCUUUCAUUUCACAAAAUACAUAAAACAAAAAUUCAAAUAAACACAACAAUUUUCACACUGACAAUUAACCCCGGUCAAAUAGCAUUACUAAGAUCCACUCCCCAAAAACCUUCGAGAUAUCAGAUAAGGAGUGCCUCUCGCUUAGUUGGUCAGUUUCAGUGUCAGGAUAACCUUGUUAUGCAAUUUUCUUGCUGGGCAGAGUAUAGCUGCAGCUUAUCUAGUUCAAAAUUUGAAUUCAACUGAUGGACAAGAAGUGCGCGCUGUUCAUAUUGAAUGUGUUUUCAAGAUACAUACACAAGGAUUAAGGCUGGAAUAUCAACUUCUGCUCAUUCAUCGUAUGGUUCAAUCAACCAGUGGUGAGGGAAUUGAUUGUAUAUAGUCAGCCUUGAUUGCAUCAGAUUCUUCGCCCGUGAAAAUUAUACAAAGGAAUGCAACAUUUUGCUGUUGCUCUAGAGGAUGGAUUCUC
Molecule: long non-coding RNA, 713 nt
Organism: Saccostrea cuccullata (small rock oyster)
Lineage: Eukaryota; Metazoa; Mollusca; Bivalvia; Ostreida; Ostreidae
Exons: 3
Source: RefSeq, a predicted model, not a curated record